AUACGUAGGGUGCAAGCGUUAAUCGGAAUUACUGGGCGUAAAGCGUGCGCAGGCGGUUUUGUAAGACAGAGGUGAAAUCCCCGGGCUCAACCUGGGAACUGCCUUUGUGACUGCAAGGCUAGAGUACGGCAGAGGGGGAUGGAAUUCCGCGUGUAGCAGUGAAAUGCGUAGAUAUGCGGAGGAACACCGAUGGCGAAGGCAUACCCCUGGGCAUGUACUGACGCUCAUGCACGAAAGCGUGGGGAGCAAACAGGAUUAGAGUCCCUGGUAGUCCACGCCCUAAACGAUGUCAACUGGUUGUUGGGUCUUCAUUGACUCAGUAACGAAGCUAACGCGUGAAGUUGACCGCCUGGGGAGUACGGCCGCAAGGUUGAAACUCAAAUGAAUUGACGGGG
This 395-nucleotide ribosomal RNA is filed under the name uncultured bacterium. RNAcentral's name for it is "partial 16S ribosomal RNA". It matches the Rfam family "Bacterial small subunit ribosomal RNA", at positions 523 to 918 of the family's 1533-position model. The record is from RNAcentral.